GCAGGCAUAGCUUCAAUCGGCAGAGCGCUGCCUUGGUAAGGCAGAGGUUAUGGGUUCGAUUCCCAUUGCCUGCUCCA
RNAcentral lists this transfer RNA (77 nucleotides) under Petrotogaceae bacterium. Its description in RNAcentral is "tRNA-Thr". It matches the Rfam family "tRNA". Rfam says of the family: Transfer RNA (tRNA) molecules are approximately 80 nucleotides in length. Their secondary structure includes four short double-helical elements and three loops (D, anti-codon, and T loops). Lineage: Bacteria; Thermotogati; Thermotogota; Thermotogae; Petrotogales; Petrotogaceae. The record is from RNAcentral.